RNAcentral lists this long non-coding RNA (1446 nucleotides) under Bos taurus (domestic cattle). RNAcentral's name for it is "long non-coding RNA NONBTAT024464". Lineage: Eukaryota; Metazoa; Chordata; Mammalia; Artiodactyla; Bovidae. The record is from RNAcentral.
GUAUAAACAACAUUUGAAGGCCUACAGUGUGUAUAGAGAAAACCUCAUCACAAGAUCAUAAGUGUUAACAGUUUUAGGGAAUCAGGAUAUUCUAUUUAAUAGAGCUAUAGUAGAUGUAGUCAAUUAAACCUGAUCUCAGAGCUCCAAGAAGCUGAGCAAAACAGGGAAAGAUUGUUAUAUUUGUCUUCAUGAAAUUGGGAUGGAAUUGCUAUGCAGAAUUGAGGUUUGUGGUUUCACUGUUCAUCUUAGGGUGCAUGAUAAGAUCCCUUUUCUUGAGAAGGGAAAAAAUUGAUCACCCUGGUUACAGUGAUGCAUAGAAACCGAUUGUAUCCACACUAGUCAAUUGAAGCUAAAGGAUUUUCUUUUUUGUUUCUUUGGGGUUUUACUGAACGGGCUGGGGUGGGAAGGGAUUCUUUUCAGUUUUGUAUAAAAACGAAGUUUACUCAUGCUUUAUAUUAUUGUGAUUGCAAGCGUUCUAAGCGUGUGCCGCUGGACCCCUCUUGUUGAUGCUCUCAGUAACGGAGGCCUGUGGCAAGUUGUGUGGUGACUUGGGCAUGUCUUAUUCAAAAACAAAAACACAGAAACCUUUCUUCCGCAGACCAAGGCAAGCAGCCGUCUCAUGACUCACUUAACACAUUGCAGUGUACCAGUUUACAGAUGAUUUUGCCCUUUUUUGCGUGACAUGGCAGUUCCAACCCACAGAGAAUCCCUUGUUUGUAAAUUGGAGGUUUGUACUAUGCCUUACAGAGCUUAAAUUCAGAAGUUUGUGCCUCAUAUCUGAAACAAAGGGAAAUAACACACCCAUUCAAAAGUAAAUAACUCCCUUCAAAGUUGUUUGUUUUUCGAUACAUUUUCAUAUAAAGAGCUCUGUUGAAUGUCAUGAAUUGAGUGGGGGAGAAAAUAUUCUAGAAACCUGCAUAUGUUGUUUACUAGCAGAUGACAUCUACAAAAGGUAUUUGAAGAACACCGAAACUUGUAAUUUUUUGUAGAUUAGCUAGCAGGUCUGAUAUUUAAAAAGGUAAUUCAGCUAAAGGACAAUUUACUUUUUGUACUUCAGACUAUCUUGAUUGUCAAGGUGUACGAACUGUAAUUUUAAAAUUUAUACUGCCACAUGAUUGUAAAUUUUAGUUGUCUUAAGUUAGUAAUGGGUGAAAAGCUAUUUAUGCUGGAUAUGGGUCAAAAAUGACUAUUAUUUGCCUUAAAAUUAAAUAAGGGUUUAAAACCACUUAAUUGGUAAUUGACAACAUCUCAAUUGACAGAUAAGGUGUGCUUGGUAUACAUAUUUUCUUCCAAAGACUUUUCUUUGGUUAGAAACACACAAAAAUUGAAACUAGUAAUAUUGUAUGUUUAUCUAUCUCUACAUAUUUCCAGCAUAUGUAGCAUUAAUAGAUCUGUCCUGGUAACUAUGUCUUUGGGAUUUCAUUUUGAUUCCAUCAAUUUAGGAAA